RNAcentral lists this long non-coding RNA (228 nucleotides) under Elaeis guineensis (African oil palm). RNAcentral describes it as "long non-coding RNA (EGUI_LNC008654)". The record is from RNAcentral. Lineage: Eukaryota; Viridiplantae; Streptophyta; Magnoliopsida; Arecales; Arecaceae.
ACUCAAUGCCAUUCCAUACAUAUUUCAAUUCCAACACAAGAAACUAACACAAAUCUAUGCAAUCCAGGAUAAAACAGGGCAGAUCACUUCAAAUCAAGGCAGAAUCUUACCCUAAUCAGGCAUCCAAGACCUUUCCUCCACUAGAUCUAGCUUUUAUAGCUCUGAUACCAAUUGUUGCCAUAGGAUCGGAUCUUUCUUUUUUGAUCGUUGAUCAUGAAAGCAGCAGCA